AUGUUCACUUUGAUAGCAUGUAUUAAAUUGGAACAAUGCAGAGAAGAUUAACAUGACUCCUGUUCAGGGAUGACAGGCAGAUUCAUGAAGCAUUCCAUGUUUUU
Molecule: small nuclear RNA, 104 nt
Organism: Bison bison bison
Lineage: Eukaryota; Metazoa; Chordata; Mammalia; Artiodactyla; Bovidae
Source: Ensembl